Molecule: non-coding RNA, 19 nt
Filed under: Mus musculus (house mouse)
Lineage: Eukaryota; Metazoa; Chordata; Mammalia; Rodentia; Muridae
Source: RNAcentral
UGAAGACUGCAGAUUGAUA